Molecule: long non-coding RNA, 1356 nt
Filed under: Struthio camelus australis
Lineage: Eukaryota; Metazoa; Chordata; Aves; Struthioniformes; Struthionidae
Description: lncRNA (ENSSCUG00000017080.1)
Source: RNAcentral
UCAAAGGAAAUCAUCAAGUGACCUUGAAAUCUGCACUGGCAUUUUCCUGGCAGAGAAAGAAGCUCUCUUCUCAUUUGCAAACAUGAAUAACAAUUUGAUCAUUCUUAAAACUUCUAAAAGGUUAAUUAUGCUCUCUCCAGUGAGCAGACUUCAGAAGGCUCAGUCAUGUAACGACUACGUUCGUCAUUAAUGCAAAGCAACGUGACAGGAAAAUUGGAAGAAUAUGGGAAAACCUCAAAUACUUCAAUGAGGAAAACAAAACCAAAGGCUGCACGGUCAAAUCAGUACAGUCAACUGAGGAAGGUGGAUUCCAUCAACUUGGGAGCAAAUGUGGGGACUGAAUUGGCAGAAAUGUCCAGAUAUUUCAUGGGAGACUCAACUGGACAGCUCGUGCCGUAAGUGAAGCUGCACUUCUCAAGAGAAAGCUUGACCUCUACCAGAUGAACUGGUGUUGCACUGGAGUUUUCAAUUGGCUGGAUCUGGGCAGGAAGACCUCCACAGCGUACAUCCAGAAGCAGCGGUCUAGUUCCUGCACUCUACUGCUGGCUGCAGUGCCCUUGUCACCAGUGUUCCUCAGGUCUUCCAUUUAGCUGUUUGAUUGGCAGGUAGGUUGAACUGUCCUAUCUAGGCGCUCCUAGGACGCUCCUCCAGUAUUAAAUGUAGUUGAAUGGUUUUUUUUUUUUUGCAAAGAAGUUUAGAAAAGCCCCCACCACCCUUGAAGUGAUGUAACCAUACAUUCCUCGGCUUGUGAAAUCAGCAUUUAAUCUGCUUUUCCCCAGAAGGUGGGGCAGAAUUUGGAAAUAAGAGCUUAUAUUCAAAGUUUGCUGUAACAGGAGACGCAGUGCAUUCGCAAAGCCCUGUGCUUAUACACACCCACCAGGUGCAAACACAGACUUGUAUGAGCACGUUUCGACCGUUUACCAAUAUUUGCCAAUUCAGUGUUCUUAACUAUGUGCCAAUGCAAAAUCACCUUUUAUGCUGAAUUUUAAAAUGCUGAUGUACACAUUACAAAUGUUUUUAAUUUGCAUACCAUGUUUUGAAUGCAAAGUAGGAAUGGAUGAACCCCAAGAAUAUUUGUGUGUUCAUAUAGCAGAAUGAUCGUUCACUCAACUCUUCUGCCAGCGACCAACUAUUUUUUCUGACGAUGGUUUAUGUACUACUCCAUGUUUCUCAUAAAUAACUAGAUAUGUGGAAUGUAUUAAGGAUGUAAUCAGCUUGGUAUUUGGAUUACAUUUCUCUUCAGCUCCCAUUACAAUCAGUGUAAAGGUUCCCUCUGAUUUCAACGAGAGUUAGAUCAGACCUGGGGCACUAUUUUUUUAAGGCCACAUUAAGUGCUGCUGUUCAUUGACAUUGUUU